Molecule: small nuclear RNA, 111 nt
Organism: Cyprinodon tularosa
Lineage: Eukaryota; Metazoa; Chordata; Actinopteri; Cyprinodontiformes; Cyprinodontidae
Product: U5 spliceosomal RNA
Exons: 1
Source: RefSeq, a predicted model, not a curated record
ACUCUUGUUUCUCUUCAGAUCGUACAAAUCUUUCCCCUUUUCCUAAAGAUUUCCAUGCAGGGGAACAACAAGACUUAUCCUAAAGUUUGAUGCCCUACUGAGAGGUAGGGU